CAGCAUACCCAGAAGCUACAGAGAUGGAGAGAGAGGAACAGAACAAACAAACAAUGCGCUCAUCCACAACAUUGAUAAGUAUAAUAAUUAUUGUAUCUCUCAAAUAUGAACAUUGACAAGUGUGAAAUGCAUGCACCAAGACAGAAGUUAAAUUGUGUGUCGACCCACAUUGUUAACUUAUGGUAUAAUGGCGCAGGGAGGAGUGAUGAAUAUGUGUGUGCGUUAAAGAACCAAAUGCUGCCCGCGGCCAGUGACGGACUUCUACGUCACACAAUCGAUAUGCUGAUAGAAUUUAGGGAGCCUUGUUUUAAGAUUAGCCUUGUUAAAAUCCCCAGUUACAAUAAAUACAGCCUCAGGAUAUGUGGUUUCCAGUUUACAUAGAGUCAAAUGAAGUCCAUUCAGGGCCGUCGAUGUGUCUGCUUGGGGGGGAUAUGCGGCUGUGAUUAUAGUCGAAGAGAAUUCUCUUGGUCGGCAUUUCAUUGUGAGGAAUUCUAAGUCAGGUGAACAGAAGGACUUGAGUUCCUGUAUGUUGUUAUGAUCACACCACAUCUCGUUAAUCAUAAGGCAUACACCCCCGCCCUUCUUCUUACCAGAAAGAUGCUUGUUUCUGUCGGCGUGAUGUGUGAAGAAACCAGCUGGCUGUACCGACUCCGAUAGCGUGUCUCGAGUGAGCUAUGUUUCCAUGAAACAAAGAAGGUUACAGUCUCUGAUGUCUCUCUGGAAGGCUACCCUUCUCCUCUGAAUGGCCUGUGGGUCAAAUUUUGCGAAAAGCACAAACCCAGACAGAAUGCAAGUAGAGUACCUAAGUAGCUGCAGUUCGGAAGAAGCUCUUUACCACACACUGGCAAGAGACGCACUGAUUGUUUCGUUAUGGUCUAAGAUAUUACGAAUGGACUCUUGGAAAGCCCUUUGUUAACAUAGAGAGAGUAUGGUAACAUCAAAAGGUUGGGGAAUGAAACAAUAUCUCCAUUUCUCAACCAGUUGAAAGUGUCCGAUGGUACCUAAAGAAUAUGAUGUCAGAGCAGUUGGUGUCUGGGACAUUAUAUCUUGAUGAUCGGAUCACAUAAAUUGUAUCGGAAAGUCUAUUGGAAAGUCUACACAAUCUAGUUAUCAGAUUCACAUGGAAUUGUUAUGCAAUUGAAACUAUUUGUGAAAGGAUGAAAAAAUGUAAGUUUAGCUUCUAAAUGAGUUGUUUUCAUAAGUAAACUAUGCUCAAUCAGUGGCCACGCCCAAGUGAACAAACAUUGGUUGAGAACUAUGAAACACGCCCUUCUCUGCCACAGUACAAAAGCCCGUCGACAGAAGUCAACCUUAGUUCCAGAUGACGUGAGGAAUGGUGUUCAUAAGUUUAAAAAGGCUAAUUUCAACUACAACCUAACGACAUUUAGUUCCAGAAAUGUUAGGACUGCUGUCUUAACGUUUAAAAGGGCAAUUUUCAAAGUGGAGCUGACGAUCACCACGCUGGAAUGGUGAAUUUUGACUAAACCAGCCAGAAUGCAGCACAAGCUGAUGAUGGGAACUUGGUAUGAACUUUGAGCGAUUAUUCACUAAAGAAGUGAUAUGUUCUAGAUGUCGAGUUAUCAGCUGCAGCUGUAAACGUACUUGGCCUAGAAAAGGACGGACAAUCUCCAAAGAACGACAGGGUACUUUAACGUAUCCACUCUACAACACUACGAGCAGAAAUAUUAAUCAAAGGACAAUGUGGGUCUCUGCUGGGUAAGCCAGUCUUCCUUCUUCGAACCAUCUAUCGAAGGGCAGCUCAGAGUAAAUAGAAAUAUUGCAUUUUCCUUUUCCGAAUGGGCGGGUAUUAGAGUGCAUAAGAUUCUGUAUUUAUGGUAGCAUAGCUUCUUAAGGUCCAAUAGACCCAAUCCCUUCCUUUGUGUAACCAGCAGUCAUAUCGGGUUAGCCCACUGGGGGCUUUUCAUGAUUAGUAAUCGAUGUGUGAUCUAUCCUGUGUAUAUAUAUAUGUAAUUCUGUGUGACUAUUUAGUAAAUAAAUAAUUAAGCUAAUUUGUGUAUUGCUGAUGAAUGCCUCCAUGGUGCCCCAGGUUAUUAAUGGUUUAAUUGUUGCAUGGUUUAAUUCAAUCACAUAAUCAAUUAAACGUUAGGUAAUCGAUUUUAUAAAAUAGCAUGUCAUAUAAUUUAAUCAUAGUCAGACACGGCAGUGUUUAUUAAAAAAAACGACUUCUUUGGAUUCCAGGAUCAUCGCCCAUUUACUCAGUGAUCCUCUACGUAUCAGAAAGCUCUUGAGCACUCUAAAUAAACGUUCAAACGAAGGCUGAGAGCCAGUGCUUUGGAACAGGAUUCAAACUAAAUUCAAUGCCCUGGCAUCACAAUACACUUGACUUAAUUGAGCUACAUAAUCAAUUUUAGGAUGAUUUGGACAUGAAACAUGAAAAAUGCUAAUAUCGGGAUAUUAACUUGCAUUGAAUUUGUACCACAAAUGCAAAAAGUUAGCAUUUGGAGACAUUGGCCUGGUGAGUAACCAAAGUAUGGAUUGCUGUCUUACGAUGCGCACACUUCAAUGAGGCCAAAGUCUGUGUGUUGUUGUGAUCAACACAAUCUCACACUCAAUUCGUGGAAAAAUGUACAAAAAGUAUUUCAGCAGAUUGCAUGUGUUUUUGUGUGGCUUAAUUUGUGUGAAAAUACACACAUUUUUGUGAGACUUAAUUCAUAAGAAAGGACACACAAAAAAUGUGUAACUUCAUUCAUAAGAAAAUGUAUUUUUGGGGGGCAAACUUCAGAACAAUCUUUUGAAAGUUGUUGGAGCAAUGCAUUUUGCGCAAUGGUGUUCUACACUGCCUUUUUUUGUAUCCCACAUUUAUUUAUAUAAAAAAACAAUGGUGUUAAUAACCCAAAAUUGUUAAUCAGCCAGGUUGUCACCGAAAUACAUAUAGUACAAUAGUAGUCUAAUUUAAAAAAAAAAAUAUAUAUAUAUAUAUAUUCCUCCAUGCAGAUCUCCUCUAGAGCAGUGAUGUUUUGGGGCUGUUGCUGGGCAACAUGGACUUUCAACUCCCUCCAAAGAUUUUCUUUGGGAGGAAUGGGCCAAAAUACCAGCAACAGUGUGUGAAAACCUUGUGAAGACUUACAGAAAACGUUUGACCUCUGCCAUUGCCAAAAAGGGUAUAUAACAAAGUAUUGAGAAACUUUUGUUAUUGACCAAAUACUUAUUUUUCACCAUAAUUUGCAAAUAAAUAAAUUAAAAAUCCUACAAUGUGAUUUUCUGGAUUUUUUUCUCCAAUUUUGUCUGUCAUAGUUGAAGUGUACCUAUGAUGAAAAUUACAGGCCUCUCUCAUCUUUUUAAGUGGGAGAACUUGCACAAUUGGUGGCUGACUAAAUACUUUUUUUGCCCCACUGUAACUAGCAACAAUGACAAGAAGCUGCUAUGUGGGGAAUCGUAGGUGGCUCAUUUCAGCUAGUUUUGUCUUGUUCUUGAUACCAUAUCUUGUUAUGAGAUGUUUUGACUGAUGUCACAUCUAUACAAUAUGGCAAAAUGUUGCUAGCUAGCUAACCAACAAUGUAACAAUGUACUUACAGAGAAC
Molecule: long non-coding RNA, 3541 nt
Organism: Oncorhynchus tshawytscha (Chinook salmon)
Lineage: Eukaryota; Metazoa; Chordata; Actinopteri; Salmoniformes; Salmonidae
Source: Ensembl